Molecule: long non-coding RNA, 2087 nt
Filed under: Lonchura striata (white-rumped munia)
Lineage: Eukaryota; Metazoa; Chordata; Aves; Passeriformes; Estrildidae
Description: domestica (Bengalese finch) lncRNA (ENSLSDG00000016502.1)
Source: RNAcentral
GCCAGGGGGUUCCUGGUGCUGCUCCUGGCCCGUGGGAGAGCUGCCCGUGGUCGGGGUGCCUUGGGAAGGCUCAGGGCACGCAGCAGGCGGGGCGGACACACAGACAGCCCAGGACGGACACGAGCGCUGCUCGCUCCGCUCCCAGCCAUGCGCAGCGGCUCCUGCAAGUGUGUAAUUUCACCACAGUGCCUAAACGAGGGACAGAAGUAAAUUGACCUUUUCACCCGUUUUCCUACCAGGGGGAUUAUAGCCUGUUUCCUGUUAAAUCUCUCCAAGAACCGGCUCCAUCCUACUCAUGGGGUGGGGUGGGGAGGGGGGGACAGACACCCACCCAAAAUGGGGGCUUUAAUUUCCCUCCUCAUCCCCCUGCACCGUGUUUUUUCCACCCCAUCCCAUCGCUCCACCACCUCUCAUCUCAUUAAAGUCUUCGGGGUGAUUUCACCAACCCCGGGCAAAACCAACGUGGAAAAAAUUGCUGGGAGGAAGGAACCGAAGGCGGAGAGUGAUAAAUAUUGAAAGGGUGGGAUUUCGAUGUAGGCUGCAACAGCUGUGCCGGUUACAGUGUCACACUAUCUCUCCACAGGUUUACUGACCCAUUUCCAUUCACACGGCUGCCAGUAUCUUAGCAACUGCAACAGUCCCCCAAGAACAGGCAUAUUGCCUGCUAUUAGUGACUGCUGCAACUGUGUCAAGGUUAGCUCUCUCCCUCCAAGCCCUGCCGGGUUUGUUUUUUGCCCCAAGCCAGCACAGUCUGUUCGGUGACACGUCCCCCGGAGCCGUCCUGGCUGUUGGGUGUUCGUCUCUGCCAUGGACAGCGCCGGCGGGGCUGGAGCUGUUGGUGGGAUGGUGGUUCUGGGUUGGGCGCUGGAUGGGAUGAGGGUUUAGCUGAUGGGAUGGUUCAGGGUGUGGGUUUGGGUGGUGGGAUGGAGCAGGAGGCAGGGAAGGUGCCCUGGGGGAUGAUGCAGGGCGUUGGUGAUGGGGUGGAGUGCAAAAUGUGUCCCCAAAAGUAUGACUAUUGCCAUCUAGUUGGGUGUCACUGUCAGCCACGUACAACUCUGAGCCCUGAGAACCUGGAGGGGGCUGGGAGCUGUGCUGAUCCCACUUGGGUGCUGGGUGUUCAUCCUUUCCAUGAAAAAUGUCAGCAGGGCUGGAGUGGUUGGUGGGAUGGUGCUGAAUGGGUGUGGAGCUGUGUGGUGGAUGGUGCUGGAUGGGUGUGGAGCUGUGUGGUGGAUGGUGCAGGAUGCAGGAUUAGGUGGUGGGAUGAACAGGGAUGCAGGGUUGAGCAGUGCAGUGGAGUGGGAUGCGCUUGGCUGGUGGGAUGGAUGAGGAUGAGCUGCUGGGUGGUGGGAUGGAGCAGGAGGUAGGGCUGGGAGCUGCUCCAGGGUGUUCAGGAUGCUGUGGGGUAGGUAAUACAACCCCAGAGCAGGAGUGCUGCCAUCCAGGUGGGUGUCGGCACCAUCCCAGCCUCACCUGGCAGGUCACCUGGACUGGGGCCUGCACUGAGGCCCCUUGGGUGUCACAAGGUGGAUUGGCCUCAUCCUGUGCCCUCAGGGGCUCAGCACUGGGCGGGCAUGAGCAGGGGAUGGCGCGUCUCCCUGGGGUCCAUGGUGGCACCAGGGGCUUGGAGGACACGGCAGCUUGUGGUGCCACCACACACCAGGCUGGGACAGCAGUGCCACGUGGGUGACAUCCGCUGUCACCAUCGCUGUUCCCACAGCACCUGGCCCUGAGGGGAGGAGCAAGUGAGAGAAGGGACUCGUGGUCCCUCGGUGUCCCCAAAAACUGUGCGAGACUGGGGUGACUGAACCCACACAGCAGGGAGAAGGCGAGCAGCUGGUGCAUCCCCAAACACCCCACGCAGGGAGGGAAACUGAGGCAUGGGGCCCCUACCCCGGCAGGCAGAGCCCCCCUCAGGCAGCUCCGGGGCUGGGGAGCAGCGGGGUGGCUGCUGGGGUGGGCAGGGUGAGCCCCAGCUCCCCCAUCCCCGGCACGGUCCCCGGCAGCGCCGCAGACAGCAGGCUCCACAGCGGCACGGCCGCGGGGACGGCUGCGAGGGAAGCCACAAAAAUGAUUUAAGGGGCUGGCGG